GGUAGCGCACUUGCAUGGGGUGCAAGGGGCCGCUGGUUCGAAUCCAGUCACUCCGACCA
This 59-nucleotide transfer RNA is filed under the name Rhodospirillaceae bacterium. RNAcentral describes it as "tRNA-Ser". It matches the Rfam family "tRNA", at positions 17 to 71 of the family's 71-position model. From Rfam's summary of the family: Transfer RNA (tRNA) molecules are approximately 80 nucleotides in length. The record is from RNAcentral. Lineage: Bacteria; Pseudomonadati; Pseudomonadota; Alphaproteobacteria; Rhodospirillales; Rhodospirillaceae.